Molecule: ribosomal RNA, 281 nt
Filed under: uncultured prokaryote
Description: partial 16S ribosomal RNA
Rfam family: Bacterial small subunit ribosomal RNA
Source: RNAcentral
UACGUAGGGGGCUAGCGUUAUCCGGAAUUACUGGGCGUAAAGGGUGCGUAGGUGGUUUCUUAAGUCAGAGGUGAAAGGCUACGGCUCAACCGUAGUAAGCCUUUGAAACUGGGAAACUUGAGUGCAGGAGAGGAGAGUGGGAUUCCUAGUGUAGCGGUGAAAUGCGUAGAUAUUAGGAGGAACACCAGUUGCGAAGGCGGCUCUCUGGACUGUAACUGACACUGAGGCACGAAAGCGUGGGGAGCAAACAGGAUUAGAUACCCGUGUAGUCCCUGAGCGGG